AGUGAACGCUGGCGGUAGGCCUAACACAUGCAAGUCGAACGGCAGCACAGUAAGAGCUUGCUCUUACGGGUGGCGAGUGGCGGACGGGUGAGGAAUACAUCGGAAUCUACUUUUUCGUGGGGGAUAACGUAGGGAAACUUACGCUAAUACCGCAUACGACCUACGGGUGAAAGCAGGGGAUCUUCGGACCUUGCGCGAUUGAAUGAGCCGAUGUCGGAUUAGCUAGUUGGCGGGGUAAAGGCCCACCAAGGCGACGAUCCGUAGCUGGUCUGAGAGGAUGAUCACCCACCCUGGAACUGAGACACGUUCCAGACUCCUACGGGAGGCAGCAGUGGGGAAUAUUGGACAAUGGGCGCAAGCCUGAUCCAGCCAUACCGCGUGGGUGAAGAAGGCCUUCGGGUUGUAAAGCCCUUUUGUUGGGAAAGAAAAGCAGCAGGUUAAUACCCCGCUGUUCUGACGGUACCCAAAGAAUAAGCACCGGCUAACUUCGUG
This 492-nucleotide ribosomal RNA is filed under the name uncultured bacterium. RNAcentral's name for it is "partial 16S ribosomal RNA". It matches the Rfam family "Bacterial small subunit ribosomal RNA", at positions 29 to 507 of the family's 1533-position model. The record is from RNAcentral.